CAUGUACUGGUGGGGUCCCUCGGCCUGGCCUGUGCCCUCUCGCAAUCUGGGACCCCUCAGGGAAUGUCAGAGUCAGUUUUGGCCCCAUCCGCAGGCCAGGCCGAGGGACCCCACUGGUGCACG
This 123-nucleotide microRNA precursor is filed under the name Myotis davidii. RNAcentral's name for it is "mir-9193 microRNA precursor family". It matches the Rfam family "mir-9193 microRNA precursor family". The record is from Rfam by way of RNAcentral. Lineage: Eukaryota; Metazoa; Chordata; Mammalia; Chiroptera; Vespertilionidae.